UCCCUGGUGGUCCAGUGGCUAAGACUCCAUGCCUCCUAAUGCAGGGGGUGCAGGUUCGAUUCUUGUUCAGGGAA
Molecule: non-coding RNA, 74 nt
Organism: Bos taurus (domestic cattle)
Lineage: Eukaryota; Metazoa; Chordata; Mammalia; Artiodactyla; Bovidae
Source: Rfam